CCUUGCCAGCCCGCUCAGAAACUUAAAUGAAUUGACGGGGGCCCGCACAAGCGGAGGAGCAUGUGGUUUAAUUCGAUGAUACGCGAGGAACCUUACCUGGGCUCGAACGUAAGAUGACUGUAGGUGAAAGCUUACAUCUCUUCGGAGCAUUUUACGAGGUGCUGCAUGGUUGUCGUCAGCUCGUGCCGUGAGGUGUCGGGUUAAGUCCCAUAACGAGCGCAACCCCUACCUUUAGUUGCCAUCAGGUUAAGCUGGGGACUCUAAAGGAACUGCCUACGCAAGUAGUGAGGAAGGCGGGGAUGACGUCAAAUCAGCACGGCCCUUACGUCCAGGGCUACACACGUGCUACAAUGGCCGAUACAGAGGGCAGCUACCUGGUGACAGGAUGCAAAUCUCCAAAGUCGGUCUCAGUUCGGAUCGGAGUCUGCAACCCGACUCCGUGAAGUUGGAUUCGCUAGUAAUCGCGCAUCAGCCAUGGCGCGGUGAAUACGUUCCCGGGCCUU
This 503-nucleotide ribosomal RNA is filed under the name uncultured Sphingobacteriales bacterium. RNAcentral's name for it is "bacterial SSU rRNA". It matches the Rfam family "Bacterial small subunit ribosomal RNA", at positions 903 to 1382 of the family's 1533-position model. The record is from RNAcentral. Lineage: Bacteria; Pseudomonadati; Bacteroidota; Sphingobacteriia; Sphingobacteriales.